RNAcentral lists this long non-coding RNA (201 nucleotides) under Mytilus galloprovincialis (Mediterranean mussel). Lineage: Eukaryota; Metazoa; Mollusca; Bivalvia; Mytilida; Mytilidae. The record is from RNAcentral.
CGGGGAAGAUAAACAACAACAUUCUGUUUGGAUUUAAAAUCCUUCACGUUAAAGAUCUUAAGAACGGAUUACGACCAAAGAAGUCUUGAGUAAAGACAACAGUAGGAAACCGCUGUUCAAUGAUCAUAAAACGAUAAAGCGAAAACAAAGCAGGGUUACAAACUAAAACCGAGGACAACAGAUCAACUAUAAGAGAAAAAG